This 734-nucleotide small RNA is filed under the name Drosophila pseudoobscura pseudoobscura. RNAcentral describes it as "GA32498". Lineage: Eukaryota; Metazoa; Arthropoda; Insecta; Diptera; Drosophilidae. The record is from RNAcentral.
GGAGAACCAAAAAAGAACGAGAGGAACCAGAGAUUAGAGAUAAGCAGUUAGAAAGUACACAUGGAAAUUUCUGGAUGGAACUAGACCUUAAUACUUUUCGUAGAAAUUAAAGCUCUACUUCAAUAAUCAAAAUUAUGGGAAAAAUAAUAAUAAAAAAAAGAUAUUUAAUGAUCACAAGUUGAACUACAGUAAAAAUGUGCAACGGAAAAAGAAUGCUCCCAAGUCUGGAAGGAGGAUAUUUUGGAUAUCACAGAAAUCACAGAAAGAAGCACAUAUGUAGCCUUUGCUUCUCUUGUGAUGUCAUCAUUACUGGGAAUCGGUCGGAGCAAUUAUACAAUCAGGCCCGGCCCGGCCCGGCCCGGCCCCGUCCGGCGCUGCGAGCAUUAUAUCGGCUGUUCGUCUCGGCUGUGCAUAUAUCCCCAUUAAAGUGACAGUGGCGGGGCAUCAAUUCAGUGUUUUCUCAUCUUGUUUUUCUUGCGUGUAGGAUAAAUCUGAAAUAAAAUAAAAUAUCAUCAUGCAUAUAAAUCGCAAAUUGACAAAGUAAACCCCAAUCCAAUCCGAUCCGACCCAACCCAAACCGAGCUGAUUGUUGAUUGCUGUGUGAUUUUUUCCAUGAUUUCAGUGCUAGAGCUGCAGCUGGAGCUGGAGCUGGAGCUGUGGUUUGGUUUGGCGUGGCCUUUGCUCUAUUAAUUUGUGUUAAAAUUGAUUUUAAUAAAUAAACACUUUGAAUCGUU